GGUGGGGGGUGGGUACCCAGAACCAACAAAUCCCCCAAAGGACACGGCCCCCUGGCUGAGCCUGUGCAGACCCAAUCAGGCAUCAAGAGAUGGCCGGCGGGCUGAGCACAGCAGGCAGGAACCAGGAAGGCGACCACGCAGCCCUCCUCCCCUUACCGCACCUGGGGCCACUUUCCCCAUCACUACUGAACCCCCAGCAGCUCUGGCGCUCACAAGCCUGCAGCAGGGAAAGAUGCCCCGCUAACUGUGGUCUCAGGUCUGUAAGCUCAGCUCUGAGCACUCUGAGAGGCUAAGCAGGGUGUCCAGCACCCCCUCAACACAGCUCCUCAACAGGGAAGGAGUAAGGACCCCCAUUCCUCCUCCCAGCCUAGCAUCAAUGUGGUUCCUCAGCCACAAAUGGUACCUGUCCCCGACCAGGACACCAGAGGGGACUCUGAAAUGUCCCCUCUCUCCCAGGAAGAGCAGGCGUCCUGUGCGGAGUGGAUUCUGCCUGGAGGCUUGGCUCCAGAACAAACACUACUUGUUGCUGCUGGGAACCAAUGGCUGAGCCGGAGUGGCUGCUGGCCUGGCUGGGCCUCCCCACCCUGCAACAGAUCGGAUCUUAUCAGGGCUUGGGGACAGCCCUGCCUGGACUCCGGCUCACUGACGGCUCGCUGUCUCCACCCGCUGGCAAAGAUCCUAUCGACCGGACUGUCUCCAGCAUCAGGGACAUUUCCCAUCCCCCACCCCAACCUGGUCCUCUCUACCCCCAUGUGAUGGCUAUCAGGGGCUGGGAGGAGGUCCUCCCUUCCCCAGAGGGCCCCAUCCCUGAUCUCCUCCACCCCUGCAAAUCCUCACAAGCAACCACCACCCGAAACACCGCAGGACUGAAAGUGGGUGGCAAAGUCAUAUCCAAAACCAAUUGGGAAGAGAAGACUGGCAGAAAAAGACAUCAGAACAGUCACUGUCUUCUGGGCCCUCCAGCCAGGAAGGUGGUGCUAUGUCUCCAGACCACUGCCGCUGGUCUUCCUCCAGUCCCCCGCCCACCCUUCCGGCCUCAUCUCCCCCCUGCCAGGGGGCCGGGGGGUGCGGAUGUUCCUCAACGUGCCUAACUCCUACCCAUGCGGAUCACUGCACUUGCUGUUCCCUGCCUAUACAACACUGUUCCCUCAGAUGGUCCAAGGUUCAUUCUACCGAAUCAGUUUAAAGACCAUCACUUUAGAGAGGCCUCCCCUGACCACUCUGGCCAAAGGGAGCCCCCAGUCAGCCUCUACCACCACACCCAGUUUCCACUGUCCCCACAUAUCCCCACAGGUUUUACCUCUUCAUCUGCUGGUUUGCUUGGCCACUGUCUCCAACAACAUCCUAGAAUGUCAGCUCCCUGAUGGCUAAGCCUCCUCUAAUUAACAGCUCCAUCCUAGCACCUAGAAUGGUGCCCAGUGAAGUGUUGUUUAGUUACUCAGACGUGUCCGACUCUUGCGACCCCAUGGACUGUAGCCCGCUGGGCUCCUCUGUCCAUGGGAUUUCCCAGGCAAGGAUACUGGAGUGGGUAGCCAUUCCCUUCUCCAGGGAAUCUUCCCAACCCAGGGAUCAAAUCCACAUCUCCUGCAUUGCAGGUGGAUUCUUUACUGCUGAGUGCAGAGUAAGUACUCAGCACAUGGGGGCUGAAAAUGUAAUUAUCUCCAGGAUUUGUUUUGUCCUCUUCAUCCUUUCUCCCAUCACCACCACCAAUAUCCACCUGGUCAGACCUAGCUCAGCUUCCAAAGACAUGUGGGCAGCAGUGGGUUCCCAUUUCCCUGGGCCCUGGACCCACAGUUUGGUUCAGAGCUGACCCGGGGGGAGACAGCACUGCUGACCCCGUGUCCGGGCCUGGCUGGGUGGCCCCACCUUGGCCCUGGUUGUUGGGUGAGAUCAUGCCCAGCUCUGCUGCCCUGCCUGGGAGAGAAGAGCUAGAAGUAGCCAUUGCCCAUGCUCAGAAGGACAAGCAACUGGGGGCACAGCUCCUGAGACCCAUCCCAACUGGGGGACAGGACUGGCCUGCACUGGAGCCACAUCUCUUGAAAGGGGCAAGAAAGGACUUUGC
Bos taurus (domestic cattle) is the source of this 2062-nucleotide long non-coding RNA. The record is from Ensembl. Lineage: Eukaryota; Metazoa; Chordata; Mammalia; Artiodactyla; Bovidae.